RNAcentral lists this transfer RNA (61 nucleotides) under Amblyomma testudinarium. Its description in RNAcentral is "tRNA-Arg". The record is from RNAcentral. Lineage: Eukaryota; Metazoa; Arthropoda; Arachnida; Ixodida; Ixodidae.
UUAAAAUAAAGCGAUAAAAAUUGCUUUCAGUUUCGACCUGAAUUUAGAGAAAAUCUAUUUU